UUAGGAAUCUUCCACAAUGGGCGCAAGCCUGAUGGAGCGACGCCGCGUGAGGGAUGAAGGUUCUCGGAUCGUAAACCUCUGAACUAGGGACGAAAGAGCUUUUAGCAGAUGACGGUACCUAGGUAAUAGCACCGGCUAACUCCGUGCCUG
This 150-nucleotide ribosomal RNA is filed under the name uncultured bacterium. Its description in RNAcentral is "partial 16S rRNA". It matches the Rfam family "Bacterial small subunit ribosomal RNA", at positions 355 to 511 of the family's 1533-position model. The record is from RNAcentral.